AUCAGUUUUUCAUUGGCUUCCAAGGCAUCAGCUAUAUCCAGCAAAAUUUUUCUCCUAUCUUGUGAAGACAAUGCCUGAAGCCGUCUGGAACUCUCCCUUGCGGCAACUGCCAUCUCACGUGCACCAAAGUCUUUAACUGGGGCCCAUGAAUGUGCAUCUUGAUGAAAGAGGGUGCCAACACACUCUCCUCGAAGGACUCUAAUUAUGUUCUCAGGAGCAUACCCACUGGUUAUAACAACAGGGACACCAGCAUAAGCUGCAUUGACAGCAGCUUUUACUUUGGCUGUCAUGCCCCCUCUUCCAACCCUAGACUUGUCACCAAAAGUAAUUUCUCCCUGAUGUAUUUCCUUAAUGUAUGUAUGAAUCAGCUUGGAGCGUGGGUCACUAGGAGGGCCACUAUAAAGACCCUCCACAUCACUCAACAGGAUGAGAAGAUCAGC
Molecule: unclassified non-coding RNA, 440 nt
Filed under: Hevea brasiliensis (rubber tree)
Lineage: Eukaryota; Viridiplantae; Streptophyta; Magnoliopsida; Malpighiales; Euphorbiaceae
Source: RNAcentral